ACAUUUUAGGUCGAGUAGAGACGCUAGGGAGUCUGUGGGCUUACCUUGGCAUUUCAAGAUGGCCUCUAUCGUCUUUUCGAGCCCGUCACACUAUAGGAGAUGGCCAUGUUUGAAGUCAUUACCCUUAACCGUAAGGAGGGGGAUGCCUAAGGCUAGGCUUGCGACUGGAGUGAAGUCAUAACAAGGUAGCCGUACUGGAAGGUGCGGCUGGAUCACCUCCUUU
Triticum urartu is the source of this 223-nucleotide non-coding RNA. The record is from Rfam. NCBI's taxonomy places the organism in Eukaryota, Viridiplantae, Streptophyta, Magnoliopsida, Poales, Poaceae.